AUUGCAAUCUUGUGUUAUUUAUCCAUCUUGUUGAAUAUUGUCGUUGUUGCCUUGAAAACCUAGAGAAGCCGAGUGGGGCCUUUGAUUCUCUAGUGAUGUUGUUCUUGUUGUUCUCUUGAUUCUUUGUUGUAAGUUUGAUCUUUUGUAUCACCAACUCAGCAUCUGGCUCGUAACUUCAUGGUGAAGCCGAGGCGUAGAAAGGGAAUGCGUGAGACGUGAGAAUCAAAAAGUUCUUUGACGAGGCUAUGAUGGUGAAGCUUGCACAGCAGGAUGCUGAUCUUCACCUGCAGAUAAUGUAGAUAUUUAGUUGAGAUGGUUCUGUCUUUGUGCUUAGGUGCAUUCCUUUUUGGAUUAAUCUUUUACCUUCCGGUCCCAGUUUUAGCGGGUGAGAGUUUCAUAUCACGAAUGGUUUUUGGUUAAACUACAUUUGAGUACUGCAUUCUGUUGGAGGAAUUCCUAUUCAAGCUUAAUUGAUACUGGAAAUGUAGCAGCAACAGAAUAUUUCCAAAUUGGUCAUCUGCCUGAUGUUAGCUAUAGUUGGUUUAGAAAUGUCAAGUUGGUAUAGGUACUUAAAGGAUGUAUUAAUCGACAGAUUAGAUUCCCAUUUAUGUGAAAAAAACUAUGAAUAGAUUACCUAUAUAUAGUAUUACUCUGCUGCAGUUUGAAGAGAUCAUUAUCUUCUUGGCUUCAAUUUGGUCUUUUUAAAAAGAAUAGUGCUCUCCAUUGACUCU
Molecule: long non-coding RNA, 731 nt
Organism: Capsicum annuum
Lineage: Eukaryota; Viridiplantae; Streptophyta; Magnoliopsida; Solanales; Solanaceae
Exons: 2
Source: RefSeq, a predicted model, not a curated record